AAGACCAUACUUUCAGGAAUCAUUUCUACAGUUUGUUACUAGACAAGUUUCUCUGAAUGUGCAGAACACCUGGGGAUGAGUAGAAUGGGAGGUG
Non-coding RNA from Pteropus alecto (black flying fox), 94 nucleotides. The record is from Rfam. NCBI's taxonomy places the organism in Eukaryota, Metazoa, Chordata, Mammalia, Chiroptera, Pteropodidae.